GACGAAAUAGGUGCUUUGAAGAUUGUUGAAGCUACCAGUCUCGAACCCUAGGAGGCGAUUUUCCCCAAUGCUCGAACCCUAGCCGUCGAUCCAUCUCGGGCGGCUCACGCCGUCGCCUUACACCGAGCCCUCUUCUCCGGCGUUCCCAUAUCCUUGUCCUUUCGCUUACCCUUUGCCGUGGAUCGCCGGUCGACUUGGUUUUCCGAUUGAGGGGGCUACUUCAGCUUUUGCUUUUGAUUUCACCAGGUGCCAAUCUCAAUCAUCGGGAUUCUUUAACGUUUUCAACACUCACCGAUCUGUCUAGAUGAAGGUAUGUGCAUUGCUUUUUUCUUAGGCGGCUGGGCCCUUUUCUUUGCAUGUGCUUUCUGUGUUCGGGUAUUUGAUCUGAGGUUGAAGGAGUAGACUGUUGUUUGGUUUAUGGGUGUGUAUAUGCCUGGAGGAUAUCUCUUCUAGGGUAGACUGAUUGCUCCAUUGAAGAAAUUACGUUUUGUUGUUCUAUUUGUUUGUGUUGUUUGUUUGGCUGUUGUGGUGGUGAUCUUGGUUUCGACAGAUAGGUAGGAGGUAUUUUGGUUUGUUAUUAAUGGUAUAAGUUUCCAGUGUUCAUGGCUGUGAGGGAUCGUGAUAGAAACAGUGGGGGCUGUGGAUUCUUGUCCUUGAUAAGCAUAAGAAACAGGGGGGAGGGGGUUUCAAGUAAUCAAUUAGUGACUGUUUGUGGACAAUUUUCCAAAGGGCGUAAGUAUGAGAUGGGUAAGGAGCCUUUUUCAACAUUUUGGGGUAGUGAAGGAUGUCUAUAUUCCUAGAAAAAGAAGUAAGGUUACAUGUAGUAUCUUUGGAGUUAAACCUGUAGUAUCCAGGGUACUCUUAAGAUGUUCCUUUAAGUUAAUAAACCUGUUGAAUGCCAUUGUUAUACAGUAUACACUAUGCGCCAAAGGUGUUUGACAAAAUGCCUGAUCUUUUUUUCAUCGGCUUCUCCAUUAUCCCCUCGCGACAGCAAAUAAGUUCUGCGGCCGCCAUUACGGGUCGUUGCCUAGAAUACUCUCCAACUGGACCUUUACAAUUUUGCAUGGUAAGCAUUCCCAAAGGUAAUAAUGUGACGUCGAGUUCCAGAUCAUUAUGCAAUUGGUCAUAACGAAAAAUUGUUGCACUAAAGAUGUUUGAUGAAUUGCUUCAAUUGGCAUUGUGUAUGAUCCAAACAUGUUUGACAUAUCACUUAUUUUCUUUUUCUGUCUCUUUGAUGGUAAAUCCACAUUGACGAUCUCACUGCAAUGACAAACUGAUGAAAGGCAAAAGAGGACCUAGCAUUAGAUGCUAUGGGUGGUUAACUCCAGUUUGUUUUGGGCCAAUAACCAAAUCCCUACUUCACUGUGUAAUUCCAGUUGAGUGCCUACUGUGUUCAUUAUCAUGCUUUCUAUUACUUUCUUGAAGUCGGUGUUCCUUUACUUAACAAUUGUCCAAAGAACAUAUAAAAUUGUGCAUAAUUCUUAUGUUUAGCUUUGGUCACAUUGGAUGUCAUCUGUUGACCUACUGUUUUUGGUAGAUAUUCCACAUAUUCAUCCAUCAAAAUUGGAAGCCAAGAAUAAAAAGAGAUUGAAGGCAGAAAUUCUUGGAAGGGAAACCCAAAUGUGUUUGAAGGUCAUAUUCGAAGACCAUAAAGUGGGCAAGUUGUUGGGUUAAAGCAUACGAUGGAUACACUAUUUUCCUUGUUGAUGAAGCUGAACCAGCUAGAAUCGGGUGAUGUUCAGUCCACUCACAAUUGAUGUUAAACCAAUUCUGAAUUCUUAGUGAAGUUGGUCCAUAGCUUCAUUCUUAGACAAGCUAUUGGUGCAACUGUAACAAGUCCUCGGUUUCCUUGUAAACAUACCAAGUUUCUUUUUCUUUUGGGAUAGAUAAGCAGAUGAUGUUUCAAGGUAGUUGGAAAUGAUUGAUCAUGCGAGAUUGUGUAUUCAUUUAUUGGCGCGAAAAAUAGAUUGCCACAUUCAGCAUUUGUUGCGAAUUUUUAGGUUCUAAUACCAUGUAAAAACAUAAGCUGGAUUUUACUUAAACUUUGGAAUGAUAUGAAUAGGGAUUAUCCCUCAAAUUAUCAGUCUCUAAAUCUUAGAAACAUUGAUGCAUACUUACCGACUCAUUUGCAAUCUGAAUUUGAAGAAUUCCACGUGCCUUGCACGUGCAAUCUUACUAGUUAUCGCUAAAUGGGUGAAUGUUGAUCUUUGUUGUCUGUUUAUGCUGCUAUAUCCUUGUUAACUACUGGUAUAUUUGAGAUUUCAGUGCAUACUUGCCAAAAUCGAAGUUCUACUGUUCUAGUCUUCAAUUCAUAUUGAUGGUUGGUUGGCUAUUUGUAAUUUCAAUUCAUAUUGAUGUUGUCUUCCACUCUAUGUAGGUCUGCGGCUUGAAAGAGAAAUUGAUGGUUCGUGACUUUUUGUCGGAGAUGUAGAUACGAUCUUGCCAGUGCUCGUUGGAACGUCGAAGCCUAUCGUUCUUAUGAUACAUGUUCUCGUACUGAUAUUCUUGUAUAUAAGUUUAGCAUAGUACUUGAUGCUGGAUCAACUUUUGUUAUUUUGGAGAUGUAAUGCUUUGAACAUAUUGCUAAGGAAUGAGUAAUAAAUUGUGUCCUUCAGUUU
Rhododendron vialii is the source of this 2618-nucleotide long non-coding RNA. RefSeq lists it as uncharacterized. The record is from RefSeq and is a predicted model, not a curated record. The transcript is spliced from 2 exons. NCBI's taxonomy places the organism in Eukaryota, Viridiplantae, Streptophyta, Magnoliopsida, Ericales, Ericaceae.